UGCANGUCGUGGGGCAGCGCAGGUAGCAAUACUGGGCGGCGACCGGCAAACGGGUGCGGAACACGUACACAACCUUCCUUCAAGUGGGGAAUAGCCCAGAGAAAUUUGGAUUAAUACCCCGUAACAUAACGAUGUGGCAUCACAUUGUUAUUAUAGCUUCGGCGCUUGUUGAUGGGUGUGCGGCUGAUUAGAUAGUUGGCGGGGUAACGGCCCACCAAGUCUACGAUCAGUAGCUGAUGUGAGAGCAUGAUCAGCCACACGGGCACUGAGACACGGGCCCGACUCCUACGGGAGGCAGCAGUAAGGAAUAUUGGUCAAUGGACGAAAGUCUGAACCAGCCAUGCCGCGUGAAGGAUUAAGGUCCUCUGGAUUGUAAACUUCUUUUAUCUGGGACGAAAAAAGGCGAUUCUUCGUCACUUGACGGUACCAGAUGAAUAAGCACCGGCUAACUCCGUGCCAGCAGCCGCGGUAAUACGGAGGGUGCAAGCGUUAUCCGGAUUCACUGGGUUUAAAGGGUGCGUAGGCGGGCAGGUAAGUCAGUGGUGAAAUCCUAGAGCUUAACUCUAGAACUGCCAUUGAUACUAUCUGUCUUGAAUAUUGUGGAGGUUAGCGGAAUAUGUCAUGUAGCGGUGAAAUGCUUAGAUAUGACAUAGAACACCUAUNGCGAAGGCAGCUAACUACGCAUAUAUUGACGCUGAGGCACGAAAGCGUGGGGAUCAAACAGGAUUAGAUACCCUGNUAGUCCACGCCCUAAACGAUGAUUACUCGACAUUUGUGAUACACUAUAAGUGUCUGANCGAAAGCAUUAAGUAAUCCACCUNNNAGUACGACCGCANGGNUGAAACUCAAAGGAAUUGGCGGGGGUCCGCACAAGCGGNNG
Molecule: ribosomal RNA, 880 nt
Filed under: uncultured bacterium
Lineage: Bacteria
Description: bacterial SSU rRNA
Rfam family: Bacterial small subunit ribosomal RNA
Source: RNAcentral